RNAcentral lists this ribosomal RNA (186 nucleotides) under uncultured Methylophilaceae bacterium. Its description in RNAcentral is "partial 16S ribosomal RNA". It matches the Rfam family "Bacterial small subunit ribosomal RNA", at positions 1199 to 1382 of the family's 1533-position model. Lineage: Bacteria; Pseudomonadati; Pseudomonadota; Betaproteobacteria; Nitrosomonadales; Methylophilaceae. The record is from RNAcentral.
CCCUUAUGGGUAGGGCUUCACACGUAAUACAAUGGUCGGUACAGAGGGUUGCCAACCCGCGAGGGGGAGCCAAUCCCAGAAACCGAUCGUAGUCCGGAUUGUAGUCUGCAACUCGACUGCAUGAAGUCGGAAUCGCUAGUAAUCGCGGAUCAGCAUGUCGCGGUGAAUUACCGGUUCCCGGGCCUU